Molecule: transfer RNA, 83 nt
Filed under: Opitutia bacterium
Lineage: Bacteria; Pseudomonadati; Verrucomicrobiota; Opitutia
Also listed under: 1 other name
Description: tRNA-Leu
Rfam family: tRNA
About the family: Transfer RNA (tRNA) molecules are approximately 80 nucleotides in length.
Source: RNAcentral
GCCCGAGUGGCGGAAUGGUAGACGCUGCGGACUUAAAAUCCGUUUCCAGUAAUGGAGUGAGGGUUCAAGUCCCUCCUCGGGCA